This 254-nucleotide ribosomal RNA is filed under the name uncultured bacterium. RNAcentral describes it as "partial 16S ribosomal RNA". It matches the Rfam family "Bacterial small subunit ribosomal RNA", at positions 524 to 776 of the family's 1533-position model. The record is from RNAcentral.
CACGUAGGGGGCAAGCGUUGUCCGGAUUUAUUGGGCGUAAAGAGCUCGUAGGCGGCUCAGUAAGUCAGGAGUGAAACCUCCAGGCUCAACCUGGAGACGCCACCUGAUACUGCUGUGGCUAGAGUCCGGUAGGGGAGCGUGGAAUUCCUGGUGUAGCGGUGAAAUGCGCAGAUAUCAGGAGGAACACCAGCGGCGAAGGCGGCGCUCUGGGCCGGAACUGACGCUGAGGAGCGAAAGCGUGGGUAGCAAACAGG